GUAGGUGAACCUGCGGAAGGAUCAUUCACACAUGCCAAGUGCAUAAUCCAAGCCUUGAACCUAGAUUGUGUUACGGUAGGUUGGUCGGCUUUCGGUUGAAACUUGUUGUACUAUGGCUUCCUGUUUACAGGUCGACUAUCGGCAAUAAGUAUGUUCCGUUAGUCUAUGCUCCUACCAGAUUUAUUUUACUUGAUUAUACUGUUACAUUCAGUAUGUCCACGAAAAAAAAGAAAAUUUUCAACGAUGGAUAUCUGGGUUCCCAUACCGAUGAAGAACGCAGCGAACUGCGAUAAGCAAUGCGAAUAGCAGAAUUCCGCGAGACAUCAGAUUUUCGAACGCAUCUGGCGCUAGCUUGCUAGCAUGUUUGUUUCAGUGUGUUUGGAGAGCACAUCUCAUCACCACAGCGAAAUGCGACUGAGGCUGCGGCUUCUUUCGUGAAAUAAGAAGUGCGAGGCCUUGAAUAGCCUCCCAAACGAAGUAGUCACAUUGAAUGUGAUCUCGUUUCGGGGCGAAGGCUGUCAAGUAAUGGCGCUCCACUACCUCCUACUCAUCUCCUAUGUCAACACCUGAGAUCAAGCAAGAUAACCCGCUGAACUUAAGCAUAUCAGUA
Molecule: ribosomal RNA, 610 nt
Filed under: Frontonia sp. 2 WS-2014
Lineage: Eukaryota; Ciliophora; Oligohymenophorea; Peniculida; Frontoniidae
Description: eukaryotic LSU rRNA
Rfam family: 5.8S ribosomal RNA (bases 233-378)
Source: RNAcentral